RNAcentral lists this ribosomal RNA (492 nucleotides) under uncultured bacterium. RNAcentral's name for it is "partial 16S ribosomal RNA". It matches the Rfam family "Bacterial small subunit ribosomal RNA", at positions 29 to 507 of the family's 1533-position model. The record is from RNAcentral.
AGUGAACGCUGGCGGUAGGCCUAACACAUGCGAGUCGAGCGGAAGCACAAUAAGAUUGCGCCCUUACGGGUGGCGAGGGGCGGACGGGUGAGGAGUACAUAAGAUACCACUAUGACGUGGGUGAUAACGGGGAGAAAGUGCCGCUAAUACCGCAUAUGAUCUACGGGAGAGAGCAGUGGAUCUUGGCGGCUUUGGCGACUGAAAGAGCCGGAGUCGGAUUAGCUAGUUGGCUGGGUAAGGGCUCACCAAGGCAACGAUGCGUAGCUGGCCUGAGAGGAUGAUCGGCCACACUGGAACUGAGACACGGUCCAGACUCCUACGGGAGGCAGCAGUGGGGAAUCUUCGACAAUGGGCGAAAGCCUGACCGAGCAAUGCCGCGUGAGUGAUGAAGGUCUUCGGGUCGUAAAACUCUGUUGUUGGGAAAGAAAAACUGUGGAAUAAACUAUGGACGUUCUGACGGUACCUAAUCAGUAAGCACCGGCUAACUUCGUG